UCAGCAAGUCUCUCAGCCAGAACCAUGAGUCAAUUCUUUUGUUGAUUUCUUAAAUCAAAUGUUGCUGUUCUGAAAAACUGAACUGUCUCCGAAAAGGAACAAGAACAAGCAGGCAGAGAUUUAAAGGGAUCAGCAAACAAAGCAAGAGUGAAGCACUGUUUGAUUUGACCAGUCAUGGAUCAAGUAUCCUUAAGGGAGCAGCUGAGUACAAUCACAGUGAAGGUGCUGUCUUGUGAAAUUAAUCCCAAAU
Molecule: long non-coding RNA, 250 nt
Organism: Hemiscyllium ocellatum (epaulette shark)
Lineage: Eukaryota; Metazoa; Chordata; Chondrichthyes; Orectolobiformes; Hemiscylliidae
Exons: 3
Source: RefSeq, a predicted model, not a curated record